RNAcentral lists this ribosomal RNA (253 nucleotides) under uncultured bacterium. RNAcentral's name for it is "partial 16S ribosomal RNA". It matches the Rfam family "Bacterial small subunit ribosomal RNA", at positions 57 to 305 of the family's 1533-position model. The record is from RNAcentral.
GCAAGUCGAGGGGCAGCAUUUCUAGCUUGCUAGAAGAUGGCGACCGGCGCACGGGUGAGUAACGCGUAUGCAACCUACCUUACAUUUGGGGAUAGCCCAGAGACAUCUGGAUUAAUACCGCAUAAUAUAUUUGAAUCGCAUGGUUUAAAUAUUAAAACUCCGGUGAUGUAAGAUGGGCAUGCGUAGCAUUAGUUAGUUGGUGAGGUAACGGCUCACCAAGACAAUGAUGCUUAGGGGGUCUGAGAGGAUGAUC